Non-coding RNA from Phascolarctos cinereus (koala), 599 nucleotides. The record is from RefSeq and is a predicted model, not a curated record. Lineage: Eukaryota; Metazoa; Chordata; Mammalia; Diprotodontia; Phascolarctidae.
UCCAGUGCCCUAUUUUUAGUGUCAAAUUUCAGCAAAACAAUUCACUUUCAUUUCAUCACAUUUAGACUGCUGGGCUUGUAACUAGGUCACGUCUUCUAGGCAUAUCAAGGGCUCAGAUCUGUCUUGCUUGAGUACCUCAAGGCAGAAAAGAAGGCAACUAUGGAAAAGGAAAUGAAAAGCUGGAUAAGUUUACAUUUUAAAAGCUACUUAAUGCAAGACAUCUAAUUAAGGGCAGUGGUCGAGAAAGCAAGGUAUCAAGAAGUCCAGGAACAGUCUACGUGAGGUUUUACAGCCUUCCCGUCAAGCAACGAAGCCUGAGCGUCUAAGAAUGUCCAAACACUACUCUGUGGCUAUGCCUAAUCUGGACACGAACUUGGUGACACUAAUGUUAUGUGCAAACUCUGUGAAAUCUGAGCCCACUCUCCCUGGGAACCGAGAUGAAGAAUAUGAUAACACAAAGUUGGAAGGGAUGGUUGACACACUAGAUCAAUGGUGUUAAACUACUAGCCAGGACCAGCCUUCAAAACUCCCAAGUACCUCUCAAACAAGACUAAAAUGUAAUUUGGAAAUAUUUAACAAAAUUAAAAAAAAAACCUGAU